This 298-nucleotide ribosomal RNA is filed under the name uncultured Gammaproteobacteria bacterium. RNAcentral describes it as "partial 16S ribosomal RNA". It matches the Rfam family "Bacterial small subunit ribosomal RNA", at positions 1089 to 1382 of the family's 1533-position model. Lineage: Bacteria; Pseudomonadati; Pseudomonadota; Gammaproteobacteria. The record is from RNAcentral.
GUAACGAGCGCAACCCUUGUCCUUUAGUUACCUAGCCACGUUAUGGUGGGCACUCUAAGGGGACUGCCGGUGACAAACCGGAGGAAGGUGGGGAUGACGUCAAGUCAUCAUGGCCCUUACGGCCUGGGCUACACACGUGCUACAAUGGUCGGUACAAAGGGCAGCUACCUGGUGACAGGAUGCUAAUCUCAAAAGCCGGUCUCAGUUCGGAUCGGAGUCUGCAACCCGACUCCGUGAAGGCUGGAAUCGCUAGUAAUCGCGCAUCAGCCAUGGCGCGGUGAAUACGUUCCCGGGCCUU